This 557-nucleotide ribosomal RNA is filed under the name uncultured Sphingomonas sp. RNAcentral's name for it is "bacterial SSU rRNA". It matches the Rfam family "Bacterial small subunit ribosomal RNA", at positions 102 to 694 of the family's 1533-position model. Lineage: Bacteria; Pseudomonadati; Pseudomonadota; Alphaproteobacteria; Sphingomonadales; Sphingomonadaceae. The record is from RNAcentral.
ACGGGUGCGUAACGCGUGGGGAUCUGCCCUUAGGUUCGGAAUAACAGCUGGAAACGGCUGCUAAUACCGGAUGAUAUCGCGAGAUCAAAGAUUUAUCGCCUGAGGAUGAGCCCGCGUUGGAUUAGGUAGUUGGUGGGGUAAAGGCCUACCAAGCCGACGAUCCAUAGCUGGUCUGAGAGGAUGAUCAGCCACACUGGGACUGAGACACGGCCCAGACUCCUACGGGAGGCAGCAGUGGGGAAUAUUGGACAAUGGGCGCAAGCCUGAUCCAGCAAUGCCGCGUGAGUGAUGAAGGCCCUAGGGUUGUAAAGCUCUUUUACCCGGGAAGAUAAUGACUGUACCGGGAGAAUAAGCCCCGGCUAACUCCGUGCCAGCAGCCGCGGUAAUACGGAGGGGGCUAGCGUUGUUCGGAAUUACUGGGCGUAAAGCGCACGUAGGCGGCUUUGUAAGUCAGAGGUGAAAGCCUGGAGCUCAACUCCAGAACUGCCUUUGAGACUGCAUCGCUUGAAUCCAGGAGAGGUCAGUGGAAUUCCGAGUGUAGAGGUGAAAUUCGUAGA